This 22-nucleotide unclassified non-coding RNA is filed under the name Chlamydomonas reinhardtii. Its description in RNAcentral is "small RNA Cre_0049". Lineage: Eukaryota; Viridiplantae; Chlorophyta; Chlorophyceae; Chlamydomonadales; Chlamydomonadaceae. The record is from RNAcentral.
AACAGCGGUGCAGUUCUGGUGG